RNAcentral lists this ribosomal RNA (492 nucleotides) under uncultured bacterium. RNAcentral's name for it is "partial 16S ribosomal RNA". It matches the Rfam family "Bacterial small subunit ribosomal RNA", at positions 28 to 507 of the family's 1533-position model. The record is from RNAcentral.
GAUGAACGCUGGCGGCGUGCCUAACACAUGCAAGUCGAACGGAAAGACCGUGAGAUUUUGCUCUUCCCGGUGGCGGAUGGCGGGCGUGUGAGGUGUGUAUCCUACUCUUCUUUUUCGUGGAGGAUCACGAAAGUGAGGUUACUCUAAGACCGCAUAUGCUGCACCGGGGAGGGCAUUGGAUCUUCUCGCCUUUCGCGAUUGAACUCGCCGCUGUCGAGUUAGCUAGUUGGCUGGGUAAUGGCCCACCAAGGCGAGGAUACGUAGCUGGUCUGAGAGGAUGAUCAGCCACACUGGAACUGAGACACGGUCCAGACUCCUACGGGAGGCAGCAGUGGGGAAUAUUGGACAAUGGGCGAAAGCCUGACCCAGCCAUACCGCGUGAGUGAAGAAGGCCUUCGGGUCGUAAAGCCCUGUUGUUGGGAAAGAAAAGCAGCAGGUUAAUACCCCGCUGUUCUGACGGUACCCAAAGAAUAAGCACCGGCUAACUUCGUG